Long non-coding RNA from Oncorhynchus tshawytscha (Chinook salmon), 3517 nucleotides. The record is from Ensembl. Lineage: Eukaryota; Metazoa; Chordata; Actinopteri; Salmoniformes; Salmonidae.
UGCCUUUGUAUGUAAAUAACAACUGAGAGAGUUGAAAUGUUUAUGACCGGUGCGUUUUAUUAAGAUGAAUUGAUAACUUAAGAUUAAACUAAAAAACACAAUUAUACAAUUGAUCAAUCUGUACAAAACAUAAAACCGUCCGUAUCGACUACACCCUCCCCCUCCCCCUCCCCCUCACACAUCAUCCUCCCCCACACACAUCAUCCUCCAAAUGCAUUGAAAUGACAUCGUUUGACUUUUCCAAUGUUUUCCAAUGGAAUUACAAUCGGUUACAGUGACAGCAUUUCAUUAUAGUUCAACAACAAUCAUGAACCGAAAAAACAACAGUUCAUUAAAAAAACUAAAAAACAAUGGAGGUAUAUGAGAAGGCCUGAAAUCAAUUUUCAAACGAGGACAAAAAACCAAUCACUUCUCUACACUUCCAUAGACUGCUAGUCCGAAAUGGUAUCCUAUAUAGUGCACUACUUUUCACCAGAUCCCUAUGGGCCCUGGUCAACAGUAGGGCACUAGAUAGGGAAUAUGGUGCCCUAGUUGUGUGUUGACAGGCUGACAGUACCGUCUGUUAGAUAACGCCAUUGGUACUGUCAGACGGACUCACACACUCAACAGCUACCUACCUUUGCUUCUAUACACACGCACGCACACACACACGGGGCCUCAAGCGCUAUAUUUCCAUGGUUACAAUACCACCAUCACACACAGAUACAGCUACGGUAGGAGUUCAACAGAACACACUGAAUUAGCCUGGAAUCACAACUGAUUUGGCUACAUUUCACUGUUGUUUCAAAUGGUGAGCGCAGCACUCGAGUCUGGUUUAACCAGGCUAACGCUGAAAUAUUAGGAACGUGACUUAGCAGGAACCUCUCCGUCCUACAUCAGUGAUGAAGCAGUGGAACUAUAGAUGGGUUGGUUACCUGGCAACGUUACAACGAUGAUGUAAACUGAUUUAUGGUUUUUCAAUAAACAUUUAGAGACUAAAUAUAGUUUACACGUUGUCCUAUAAUCCUACGAUUGUAAGCCAACCCCGUCAGUUUCCUGCCUCUCGGAUGCGCGCGCCAGGGUCGGCGUCAAAUUCCAUUUCAAUUCGUAAAAAGUAAACAAUUCACAAAAAAAUGUUUUCAUUGAAAAGAGAAAUUCGAACUUCCAGAAUUGACUGGAAUUGAAAUGGAAUUCACCCCAACCCUGGCAUUGGUUUUGUACGUAAACAUCCCACCCGUAUACAGGAUAUGUAGUGACCAUUAGUGCCACCAGGAAUGUCAUUUUAGUUCUAUUUCUGGUGGUAGUAAUAUUAGCCUGGAUCCCAGUCUGUUUGUGCUCUCUUCCCAACUCCAUAUGGAACUGUCAUGUAAAACAUGGUUUGGCUUGACAAUGGACUAGGCGAAAACAGACCUGAGACCAGGCUAUAGUAAUAUCACUACAUUAGAGGCAGAUCUGAGACCAGGCUAUAGUAAUAUCACUACAUUAGAGGCAGAUCUGAGACCAGGCUAUAGUAAUAUCACUACAUUAGAGGCAGAUCUGAGACCAGGCUAUAGUAAUAUCACUACAUUAGAGGCAGAUCUGAGACCAGGCUAUAGUAAUAUCACUACAUUAGAGGCAGAUCUGAGACCAGGCUAUAGUAAUAUCACUACAUUAGAGGCAGAUCUGGGACCAGGCUAUAGUAAUAUCACUACAUUAGAGGCAGAUCUGGGACCAGGCUAUAGUAAUAUCACUACAUUAGAGGCAGAUCUGAGACCAGGCUAUAGUAAUAUCACUACAUUAGAGGCAGAUCUGAGACCAGGCUAUAGUAAUAUCACUACAUUAGAGGCAGAUCUGGGAGCCUCAACGUUUACACACAUCACUGUUCCACUGCCUAAAGCAAGUGGCUUAUAGAGAAGAGAGGAUAUACAUGAAGGGGUUAAUAUGGAACAAGCAGACCUCAGCAGAACAGAUAUCUACUACUACUAAUAAUAAUGACCUAGCUACGACCUAGUAAGGCAUAAUAAUCAUUUUGGUUGGGACUAUAUUAAUGAAGUAGAAAGCCAUGCACUGUGUUGAAGUAAGAGGCAGCUUGGUGUAAACAGGCUUUAAUGUGACGGACUGUGAUAACACUGGACAACGUGAUAAGAGCCAGAUAAGAUCUGGGCAAAAAGUACAUAACUGUGUCUAAAAAUACUUUUAAAUACUUCAUAUUUGAGAAAAGACUGGGAAAUAAUUUUAAAAGUAUUUCCAAGUAUUUUGAGGUGCGCGUGAUUUAGUUUGGUGGGUUUGCACUUUUGGGACUAUUCUGUUGGUCCCAUUGAAUAAGGCAAACAGAAUCAGCUCAAGUAUUUAGAAGUAUUUGAUCCAGGUCUGUCUGGUGAUAGCUGGAGCUAUAUAGAGGAUGGUUGGCCAGUAGGGUACGUUCUAUGGUAGAUGGGAGUAGAGGUGGAUAGUAGGAACAUUCUAUGGUAGAUGGGAGUAGAGGUGGUUAGUAGGAACGUUCUAUGGUAGAUGAGAGUAGAGGUGGCCAGUAGGAACGUUCUAUGGUAGAUGGGAGUAGAGGUGGUUAGUAGGAACGUUCUAUGGUAGAUGAGAGUAGAGGUGGUUAGUUGGCCAGUAGGAACGUUCUAUGGUAGAUGGGAGUAGAGGUGGUUAGUUGGCCAGUAGGAACGUUCUAUGGUAGAUGGGAGUAGAGGUGGUUAGUAGGAACGUUCUAUGUUAGAUGGGUGUAGAGUUAUUGGAUUUUAAUGAGUGGUAGAGGGAGGCACUGAGAGUGAACAGCAGCUAACCUAAAUAAUGUGACCCAGUAUAUGGAUGUGUCUUCCUAUUCCCUAUCUAGUGCACAACUUUAGAUCAGAGCCCUAUUCCCUAUAUAGUGGUACUACUAUAGACCAGAGCCCUAUUCCCUAUAUAGUGGUACUACUAUAGACCAGAGCCCUAUUCCCUAUAUAGUGGUACUACUAUAGACCAGAGCCCUAUUCCCUAUAUAGUGGUACUACUAUAGACCAGAGCCCUAUUCCCUAUGUAGUGCACUACUUUUCACAAAAGCCCUAUGGGCCUGGUCAACGGUAGUGAACUAAUAGGGAAUAGGGUGACAUUUGGGACAAAGAUUUAAUCUAUGUAUUUAAAAAAAUGAUGUUUUACUAACAGAUGCUUCUUGACAUGAAUGAAAACUGAUAGACAUUCUGAUUAUGAAGACGUGUCAUAACGAGACCAGCAGUACAAGACUAGAUGACCACCAUGAUUCCUAGACCAGCAGUACAAGACUAGAUGACCAUCAUGAUUCCUAGACCAGCAGUACAAGACUAGAUGACCAUCAUGAUUCCUAGACCAGCAGUACAAGACUAGAUGACCAUCAUGAUUCCUAGACCAGCAGUACAAGACUAGAUGACCAUCAUGAUUCCUAGACCAGCAGUACAAGACUAGAUGACCACCAUGAUUCCUAGACCAGCAGUACAAGACUAGAUGACCACCAUGAUUCCUAGACCAGCAGUACAAGACUAGAUGACCACCAUGAUUCCUAGACCAGCAGUACAAGACUAGAUGACCAUCAUGAUUC